AAAAGGUGCAGACAUCCUUUUUUUUAAUGCGCACACAUUGUCAAGCCUCCGGCUUAUUUAUUAGUAUUAAAAACUGAGGACCCCGCGCUAGAGAAGGAGGAUAUAUGUAUACGUAUCUCUUUAUAACUUGACAGUGUAUUCUAACUAGAUAGCAUCCUCAACAAUUCUUCAAAGUUACCAGCUAAUAACUACUACCACCGAAAGGGUUAUCACAGAAAAGAAAAGCAAGCAAGCUGAAAAGAGAUAUAUUAGAUUUAUUAUGUCAACAUCUUUGCGGUUGCAGAGAGCCAGCAACAGCUCGUGAAAAGGUUACUGCUUCCCGUACAAUUUUUAGCCCCAACGCAUUGAAAGCUUCCAGCAGAAAUGGAGGUGCUAGCUUUUCUGCUCUAAUACGCCUUAAUUAUUAUGAAAGGCACAUUCCCACUAGGACCUAAAAUAUACCCCUUAUAAUGAAUUGCCAGAAAUAUGAAAUAUUAUUGAACUGUUCUUGAAGUAACAUAUUUCAAAUGUUAAUCUAAUGCUAGUCUGAGACUCAUUUACUCGAGUUUUUGAAAGAAAAAAAAAAUGAUGAUAAUAUCCAAUGAAUUGUCACAAAUUUAAAGGGAUUAAAAACGUUCGGCCGAAGUCAAUUGCUUACUCAACAUUGUGAGUGAUCCUGCCAGCUAAUUGGGUGAUGAAAUAUGUAACUACAUAAAGAAGAGAAAGCUAAAUAGUAAGAUGAAAUAAGAUUAAGGACUAAAAUGUCAUUCUCUCUAUUUACGCACUCAUUAAGAAAGCAACUUCAAUCUUCCUUCAAGUAAAAUUCUUGCGUCUCUUAUCGCAUAAAUAUAUGUAUAUCUAUUGAUAAAGAAAAUAUCUCAUAUAAACUACAUUAGCUAUUAGGAUAAGAAUGUAACUUUGAGGCAUUCCUCAAUUCAUGAAUUAAUUUUUAAAUAUGAGUUAGACCAUUGAUUUGUAAUUAAAUAUAAUCGAUUUUGAGUAUUAAUGUUUCUAGUUUUCAAUUGGGAUAUUAAUUUACUUAUUUAAUUCCGUAAACAUGAGCAAAUGAUUUCAGAUUUUAAUAUGGUAUCACAGAUUGGAAUGCUAUUUUUCCAGCCAACUUAAUACGUAGAAAGAUACAUUUUCAACAAAAAUGGAUGCAUUAAAAGGACUUCUAAAAAGCUUUUGAAUUGGAAUGCCAACGAAAAAUAGGCCGCAUGUUCAACCAAAUAUCUCAAAAUUUUUUAAUUUCAUUUAAACGUAAUGGUUAAGCAACCCCACCUCCUAAAUUAGUUUUUUAGUAUGAAUUAGGUCAGUGAACCUACUAGUAGGUUCAUACUGCCUUUCUAUGACUUGAUAAAAAAAAUUAUAUGUUAAGAAAAAAAAAUUCCACAUUGGUUGAAAUUGAAUUAAGUAAUGUAUAUAGACUGGUGACAAUCAUCAACUUUUUAAUUAGAUUUGAAUUAGAUUUUGAAUAUGACUUCAAUUUAUGGGCCCCUAUAAAAAAUAAUUAGAGGUUCUAAUGAGUGUUGUAAGUGAGUUGAGGAAAGAGGAGAUUAAACCGAGGUUACCAAACCAUAGAUGGCCUACACACGGCUGUAGAGUGCCAUAGAUCUUAAAAAACAAUAAUAACACUUUUAUUAAUAUUUAAAAAAAUGUGAU
This 1641-nucleotide long non-coding RNA is filed under the name Citrus x clementina. RNAcentral's name for it is "Citrus clementina (C. clementina) long non-coding RNA (CCLE_LNC005516)". Lineage: Eukaryota; Viridiplantae; Streptophyta; Magnoliopsida; Sapindales; Rutaceae. The record is from RNAcentral.